CCUACGGGUGGCAGCAGUGAGGAAUAUUGGUCAAUUGACGAGAGUCUGAACCAGCCAAGUAGCGUGAAGGCUGACUGCCCUAUGGGUUGUAAACUUCUUUUAUAUGGGAAUAAAAUGUUCCACGUGUGGGAUUUUGUAUGUACCAUAUGAAUAAGGAUCGGCUAACUCCGUGCCAGCAGCCGCGGUAAUACGGAGGAUCCGAUCGUUAUCCGGAUUUAUUGGGUUUAAAGGGAGCGUAGGUGGAUUGUUAAGUCAGUUGUGAAAGUUUGCGGCUCAACCGUAAAAUUGCAGUUGAAACUGGCAGUCUUGAGGACAGUAGAGGUGGGCGGAAUUCGUGGUGUAGCGGUGAAAUGCUUAGAUAUCACGAAGAACUCCGAUUGCGAAGGCAGUUCACUGGACUGCAACUGACACUGAGGCUCGAAAGUGUGGGUAUCAAACAGGAUUAGAUACCCUAGUAGUC
This 460-nucleotide ribosomal RNA is filed under the name uncultured bacterium. RNAcentral describes it as "partial 16S ribosomal RNA". It matches the Rfam family "Bacterial small subunit ribosomal RNA", at positions 338 to 795 of the family's 1533-position model. The record is from RNAcentral.